CCUCUAUUAGUUCUAAAGUCUCCAUUAGACUUUAAGCUCCUUAAAGUGCAGCCAUUGCUUCUUCUUUGAACCUAUGUUAUUCCUCCAUAAUAAUCUACUCAGAUUUCUUUUUGGUUUGUUUAUUCUUACAUAAAAGAAAUGUUAUACAUAGAAGAAUCACAGAAUUGCAGAAUCACAUCAAGAGCAAACAGACUUAAGAGCAUUAACAGGAAUCAGUCACAUAAUUAUUGUUAUAAUACAUUUGGAGGCUAAUAUUUAAGAACCAUUAGAACAUAUUUUUAUAAGACUACCGAUCAAGUAUUAUAUAUUUCACCUUAGCUAUUUGCUGUCCAAACAAUCUUGGCAAUAAUUUGCUGACGAAAUGGGCCACUUUUUGUUGGUGGUCUUAGUUUGAUGCAAGUUUUCCUUACCAUGAACCACUAUGGAUUUGUGCAAAGUAUAGCUGUCAUAAUUUCAGGUCUUCAGAGACUCUCAGACCUUUAGGAAUUCACAAGGUUGUUACCAGUUUUGGACAUGUGAACCAUGGGAUGCUUGUUGGAUCAACAUCAGUAGAGAACAAAUAUAAAAAAGAAAAGAAAGGCCACACAGAGGUCAAGUGGGAGUCAGGGCAAUUCACUUUCUCCCACCCAAUUCUGGGGACCCAGCUGGAACCAUCCAAAUUAUUCACACCUGGCAAGGUAGAAAACUCUUCUGACAAGUUGAUUCUACUGUGCUUUUAUGGCUCAGUAGAAAAAUAGGAUGUUCUUUAACCAAUCAACAUUCAUUAAAUCCUCACUAUAUGCUAGGCACUGUGUUAAGUGCUAAAGAUACAAAAAACAAAAGUCUUUGCAAGAGAACACAAUUAUAAAUAAGAUAAAUGCAGAGUUGAAGGAAGGUAGCAACUAUCUAUAGCACUAUCUACAGUGCAAGCUCCUCAUUGAUGAAUCAUAAAUGGCCAGAAGCAGGUCCCCAAAGUUCCCAUAUGGUUAAAUGGAAUCAGGCAGAAAAAAAUCUGACCAUACUCUCUACAAUCCAUUUUACUGCUAUGUAAUGAAGGACAGAAUCAAAAACCCUUAGAGUUAUAAAAGGCUAUCUAGAACAAUCUAUACCCUGAAUGAGAUUUCCAAAUAAUCUUUAGCCAACAUGUGGUGACCCAAUCUUUGCUUAAAGUCCUCCAAGGAGAAGGAACCCUCGGAGAAUUUGGAAUGAGUAAAUAAGGGUAGGCAACUAGCAAAGAAGGAAAGCUUUGAGGAGUGCUGGUGGCCUUUCUUCCCUCAAAAUGAAUUUUUUUCCUCUAUACAGAUGGAAAGGAUAUCUAUACCUCUCUGGAUCAAUAUUGGGGAUGAGAGUGAUUGGAGUCAGGGCUGAGCUGCUGAUUCCCUGAUUGCCAGGGGGGGAAAGUGGAGAAGAAGUCACAAUAGGAAUGGGAUGUCCCAGGGUGUCCCAGAGACACAAAGUUCUCUUCCACAUUCUCCUUUUAAGUUUCUUAGAUUUCAUGUGGGAGGUAUACAUGUGGCAAGCAGUGGUUGGGAAAGGAAGAGACAGAGAGACCAGUAUAGUAUGAUGGAAAAUCACUGAAAUGAAGUGAGGUGACCUAGAUUGAAAUCCCAAUUCUGUCAGUCUUACCAUCUAUAUGACCUUGAGUAAGUCACUUAACUGGUUUGGUAUUCUUACUGUAAAAUGUGGAAUUAAAAUUAGAUGACCUGUAAAGUCCCCAUCAGUUCUAAAUUUAUGAUUUCUACCUGUGGAUUCUCUCCACAUGAGCAGAGCAGAAUUGGGAAGCAAAACAACCCCUAGCAAGGGCUGCUUCAUUUUUGCCUUUUAUUCUCAGUACUAAGCACAGUAUAUCUGCUGAAUUAGAUUAAAUGUUAAGGGGAGAAGAGAGAUAGAAGAUGUCAAUUGGUCAAUAAAUAUUCAUCAGGCAGCUACUAUGUGCCAGGCACUGUGCUAAGGGCUGGGAAUACAAAGAAAGGUAAGAGACAAUCUCUGUUCUCAAGGAGUUUUUUGUCUAAUGGGGAGAAAAAUGCAAAUGACUAUGUAUAAACAAGAUAUAUACAGGAUAAAUGAGAAAUAAUCAAGACAGGGAAGGCACUAAAAUUAAGGGGAAAGACUUCCUGUAGAAAGUACAAUUUUAAGAGGGACUUGAAGGUAGUCAUGAGGUGGAGAUAGGGAGGGAGAAUAUUCCAGGUAUGGAGCACAGCUAAUGAAAAUACCCAGAGGCAGAAAAUAGAAUGUUGUUUCCGGACCAUUAAGGAGGCUGGUGUUAGAAGAGCUUUCUAGUAGGUCUUCAGAGGGGAAGGAGAAAAAAUUGAGCUACAGCUUUCUGCAACUUAAGCAGAUCUUCUGUGGAAUUACUUCAUUGGGGGCACAGAGAGUGCUUUCCUUGUGGUCACUUAAAUAGUUCAUGUUCUUGAAGAUAAAGAAUAUAUAGAUAUUCACAGGUGGAGGAGAAGAGUAUGAAGAGAGAUAGGGUCAGUCCCAUUCAGAUACCAGGGGAGAAGACUGCACAAUCACUGGCACAGGAGAAUCUUCUACCAGACAGGCUGAAGAACUGGAUCUAGAAAUUCUGAGGAGUCAAGUACCACAAGGUAGGACUAAGAUGAGGUAUCAGGAGGUUCUCCUUUUUGGACUCCCAGAUCAUAAACUGACAGUAGAAAUACUUUACAGUCAUAUACUUGACUUCUAGAAGUCAAAAUCAUUGAGGAAAUGAGGAAGGCGGUAAGUGGAAUUGCUCUACCUGAUCUUGAGCGCAUCCAUGGUGAAUUAACUUCAGAAUGAUGUUAGGUAUUAUUUGACCAGACUGAACUGCCUAUUGGGUAGAUGGCAAAGAGAUUGAUGGUCAGUCCAAAGAUGGUCCUUCAGUUAUUCUAUCAGGAGCCAGUUAUACAGAAUGCAAAGAUGUCACAUCUUGCAUUUGGUUGCUAUAGUUAAACUGAAAUUUGCAAGACUUGAAACAGAAGGUCGGCCUGGGUGGCUUGUGGCCCUCUGGUGGUGGCUGGGCCGGCAGAGCCUUCUUCUCCAAACCUAGAUCGUUCCUCUGUCCGCUAGAGACACAUCCUGGACCAAACUGGAAAUCGGGCCCCGCCAUGAGCAUAGCCUCGUGGGAUAUCCCUUUUGCCUAAAGCCGGCGGGCUCCGCACUUGGCCCUGUGUCUACAGGGGGCCUGGGAGCCUCUAAAAGGGUCGUGCAGCCCGAACAAGCCUCGCGGAGGGGAGGGCAGAUGCCUGGGACCGCUAAGGCUUGGCAGGGGCCGGACCUGGGGGGAGCCGGGGGAUCCCCCCAUUUCUCCGUCAGGAAAGAUCCCCGUUAAGGUGGCGGCUGCGGCCCAGGCCACCACAGGGGCCACCAGAGGCCAGGUGGCGCCAGGCAGAUGCGGGAAGCAGUGCAAGCCUCGGUGCUCAGCUUGGCCAGCUGGGGCAGCAGCAUGGUCCCGGAGCCCUUCUCAGAGACACGCCGUUAGGGAGAGCCAGAGCCGACCACAGGCGUUGAGGUGGGCCCCCAGGGAACGCCGGCAGGCGCUGGGCCCCAGCAGCGGCCGCUCCUGCACCUGGGCCUCCCGCGUGGUCGUCCCGCUCCACUGAGCAGCCCCGCGCCGAGGGCGGAAGACAGACCUGGGCCGGAGGGAGAGUCUCCGCCACCCGCAGACUGAGAAGGCUGCAGUGCCCUCGGCUUUCUCCGAGGCGAAGUGAGAGCAGCACCGGACAGCUCCCGACUCUGGGAACACUGCGGGGGUGGGGAAAAACGAGGCCGGCUCUUCACGUGACCCCCUUAAAGCAGCCGCUGAUAUCUGCUUCAGUCACCGUCUUGCCCGUUAUCUCAGUAUGACCCUCGGCAGAUUCCUUCUUCCAGGGGGCUGGGCUAGGUCGUCAUGGAGAUAAGGAACCAGAGACUCCCCUGGAGAAGGAUGAGAGAAGAAGAAUCUAGGGAUAUCUGUGCUUUCCUUUCUGUGAGUCACAUCUAGAUGGACAAUGUAACCUACAUGAACACCAAUAGUACACAGGACAUACCUUAUAUUUAUAAGAAACACUCUUUUAAUAUAAAUAUUCACAGAGAUUUAAAAUGA
Monodelphis domestica (gray short-tailed opossum) is the source of this 4042-nucleotide long non-coding RNA. RefSeq lists it as uncharacterized. The record is from RefSeq and is a predicted model, not a curated record. Lineage: Eukaryota; Metazoa; Chordata; Mammalia; Didelphimorphia; Didelphidae.